GUGAAAUUGUUGAAAGGGAAACGUUUGAAGUUAGUGGAACUGGCACAAAUUCAGCCUCGCACCAAGGCAAUUAGCGCAUUUGCGAGCCUAGUGUGGGGUGCACUUUUGUAUCAGCUGGUUAACAUCAAUUUUGACUAUCAUAAAAAGGCUAAAGGGGAUGAGGUUCCUUCGGGAGUGUUGUAACCUUUAGCGGAAUGUGGUGGUCGGGAUUGAGGAUUGCAACGAAUACCUUUAGGGCUGUGCUAACUGCGUCUGGCCACUCCUCUUUGUCUAUCAUAUAUAUGAUGCGUUCAGCCAAUUAGGGGUGGUUAGUCAGGUGGUGCAAAUUCGUUAAGGAUGUUGACGUAAUGGCUUUAAACGAC
Molecule: ribosomal RNA, 362 nt
Filed under: uncultured Entrophospora
Lineage: Eukaryota; Fungi; Glomeromycota; Glomeromycetes; Entrophosporales; Entrophosporaceae
Description: uncultured Claroideoglomus partial 28S ribosomal RNA
Source: RNAcentral